Molecule: ribosomal RNA, 459 nt
Filed under: uncultured bacterium
Lineage: Bacteria
Description: partial 16S ribosomal RNA
Rfam family: Bacterial small subunit ribosomal RNA
Source: RNAcentral
CCUACGGGUGGCAGCAGUGAGGAAUAUUGGUCAAUGGCCGAGAGGCUGAACCAGCCAAGUCGCGUGAGGGAAGACGGCCCUACGGGUUGUAAACCUCUUUUGUCGGGGAGCAAAGCGAACCACGUGUGGUUCAUUGAGAGUACCCGAAUAAAAAGCAUCGGCUAAAUCCGUGCAAGCAGCCGCGGUAAUACGGAGGAUGCGAGCGUUAGCCGGGUUUAUUGGGGUUAAAGGGUGCGAAGGCGGAGGUGCAAGUCAGCGGUCAAGUUGCGGGGCUCAACCCCGUACUGCCGUUGAAACUGCAUCCCUUGAGUGCGCGAGAAGUAUGCGGAAUGCGUGGUGUAGCGGUGAAAUGCAUAGAUAUCACGCAGAACUCCGAUUGCGAAGGCAGCAUACCGGCGCGCAACUGACGCUCAUGCACGAAAGCGUGGGUAUCGAACAGGAUUAGAUACCCGAGUAGUC